UACGGGUGCGGUAUGUCUAACUAAGAACUCUCGAAUUGCCUUUUACCAUUCGAAACCGUGGCCAUCCGCAAAACCCGAUUUGAAAUAUUUGGAACCUCUUGUUUUUUUUUGGCGU
RNAcentral lists this small nuclear RNA (115 nucleotides) under Talaromyces islandicus. Its description in RNAcentral is "Penicillium islandicum U5 spliceosomal RNA". It matches the Rfam family "U5 spliceosomal RNA". Rfam says of the family: U5 RNA is a component of both types of known spliceosome. The precise function of this molecule is unknown, though it is known that the 5' loop is required for splice site selection and p220 binding, and that both the 3' stem-loop and the Sm site are important for Sm protein binding and cap methylation. The record is from Rfam by way of RNAcentral. Lineage: Eukaryota; Fungi; Ascomycota; Eurotiomycetes; Eurotiales; Trichocomaceae.